RNAcentral lists this transfer RNA (66 nucleotides) under Indothais lacera. RNAcentral describes it as "tRNA-Ile". Lineage: Eukaryota; Metazoa; Mollusca; Gastropoda; Neogastropoda; Muricidae. The record is from RNAcentral.
AGUAUUACGCCGGAUGAACGGAAAUCAUUGAUGUUGAUUAAUAUGUGGCUAAAGCCUCUGAUACUA